CCCUUAGACGUUCUGGGCCGCACGCGCGCUACACUGACCAGUGCAACAAGCAUCCGUCCUUGGCCGACAGGCCCGGGCAAUCUUUGAACGCUGGUCGUGAUGGGGAUAGACUUUUGCAAUUUUUGGUCUUCAACGAGGAAUUCCUAGUAAACGCGAGUCAUCAACUUGCAUUGAUUACGUCCCUGCCCUUUGUACACACCGCCCGUCGCACCUACCGAUUGAAUGGUCCGGUGAAGCCUCCGGAUUGGCGCGCACCUCGGUGCCGCCGAGAAGUUGGCUAAAUCUUACCAUUUAGAGGAAGGUGAANUCGUAACA
This 315-nucleotide ribosomal RNA is filed under the name uncultured eukaryote. RNAcentral's name for it is "partial 18S ribosomal RNA". It matches the Rfam family "Eukaryotic small subunit ribosomal RNA", at positions 1470 to 1796 of the family's 1831-position model. The record is from RNAcentral.